GUUGAACGCUGGCGGCAGGCCUAACACAUGCAAGUCGAGCGGAUGAAGGGAGCUUGCUCCUGGAUUCAGCGGCGGUCGGGUGAGUAAUGCCUAGGAAUCUGCCUGGUUGUGGGGGAUAACGUCCGGAAACGGGCGCUAAUACCCCAUACGUCCUGAGGGUGAAAGUGGGGGGUCUUCGGACCUCCCGCUUUCAGAUGAGCCUAGGUCGGAUUAGCUAGUUGGUGGGGUAAAGGCCUACCCAGGCGACGAUCCGUAACUGGUCUGAGAGGAUGAUCAGUCACACUGGAAGUGAGAAACAGCACAGACUCCUACGGGGGGCAGCAGUGGAGAAUAUUGGAGGAGGGAGGAAAGCGUGAUCCAGGCAUGCCGCGUGAAUGAAGAAGGUCUUCGGAUUGGAAAGCACUUUAAGUUGGGGGGAAGGACAGUAAGUUAAUACCGUGCUGUAUUGACGGUACCAGAAGAAUAAGCACCGGCUAACUUCGUG
This 484-nucleotide ribosomal RNA is filed under the name uncultured bacterium. Its description in RNAcentral is "partial 16S ribosomal RNA". It matches the Rfam family "Bacterial small subunit ribosomal RNA", at positions 28 to 507 of the family's 1533-position model. The record is from RNAcentral.